AUUUGAGUCUGGGAUUUCUGAAUGGGGAAACCCACGUGCAUAAGCACGUAUCCUUACCUGAAUACAUAGGGUAAGGAGGCGAACCGGGGGAACUGAAACAUCUAAGUACCCCGAGGAAAAGAAAUCAACCGAGAUUCCGAAAGUAGCGGCGAGCGAAAUUGGACUAGCCCUUAAGCUUUACACGCGUUAGACGAACGGUCUGGAAAGUCCGACGAUACAGGGUGAUAGUCCCGUAGUUGACGACGUGUGUUCAGUGAAAUCGAGUAGGGCGGGACACGUGAUAUCCUGUCUGAAUAUGGGGGGACCAUCCUCCAAGGCUAAAUACUACUGACUGACCGAUAGUGAACCAGUACCGUGAGGGAAAGGCGAAAAGAACCCCUGUGAGGGGAGUGAAAUAGAACCUGAAACCGUGUACGUACAAGCAGUAGGAGCAGGCUUUGUCCUGUGACUGCGUACCUUUUGUAUAAUGGGUCAGCGACUUAUAUUCAGUGGCAAGGUUAACCAUCUAGGGGAGCCGUAGGGAAACCGAGUCUUAACUGGGCGUUCAGUCUCUGGAUAUAGACCCGAAACCAGGUGAUCUAGCCAUGGGCAGGUUGAAGGUUGAGUAACAUCAACUGGAGGACCGAACCGACUAAUGUUGAAAAAUUAGCGGAUGACUUGUGGCUAGGGGUGAAAGGCCAAUCAAACCUGGAGAUAGCUGGUUCUCCCCGAAAGCUAUUUAGGUAGCGCCUCGGACGAAUACUACUGGGGGUAGAGCACUGUUAAGGCUAGGGGGUCAUCCCGACUUACCAACCCUUUGCAAACUCCGAAUACCAGUAAGUACUAUCCGGGAGACACACGGCGGGUGCUAACGUCCGUCGUGGAGAGGGAAACAACCCAGACCGCCAGCUAAGGUCCCAAAUUACUACUAAGUGGGAAACGAUGUGGGAAGGCUCAGACAGCCAGGAUGUUGGCUUAGAAGCAGCCAUCAUUUAAAGAAAGCGUAAUAGCUCACUGGUCGAGUCGGCCUGCGCGGAAGAUGUAACGGGGCUAAGUAGUAAACCGAAGCUGCGGCAAUAUACUUUUGUAUAUUGGGUAGGGGAGCGUUCUGUAAGCGGUUGAAGGUGUGUGGUAACGCAUGCUGGACGUAUCAGAAGUGCGAAUGCUGACAUGAGUAACGAUAAAGGGGGUGAAAAACCUCCUCGCCGGAAGACCAAGGGUUCCUGUCCAACGUUAAUCGGGGCAGGGUAAGUCGACCCCUAAGGCGAGGCCGAAAGGCGUAGUCGAUGGGAAACGGGUUAAUAUUCCCGUACUUCUUACAAUUGCGAUGGGGGGACGGAGAAGGCUAGGUGGGCCUGGCGACGGUUGUCCAGGUUCAAGUGCGUAGGCUUAAGAGUUAGG
Molecule: ribosomal RNA, 1380 nt
Filed under: Vibrio parahaemolyticus
Lineage: Bacteria; Pseudomonadati; Pseudomonadota; Gammaproteobacteria; Vibrionales; Vibrionaceae
Description: partial 23S ribosomal RNA
Rfam family: Bacterial large subunit ribosomal RNA
Source: RNAcentral